UUCGCUCAUUUACGCGCGAUUAAGCUUUCCCGCCUAUUACUGUGGAUGUCCAUCUUUGGACCGAGUGGAUCCUGUCCACUCUGUUUUGACGCCUCCCUGUUAUCAACUUAAAAGCCGCCGGAAACGGCGGCUCUUUUUUG
Rhodopseudomonas palustris CGA009 is the source of this 140-nucleotide non-coding RNA. The record is from Rfam. Lineage: Bacteria; Pseudomonadati; Pseudomonadota; Alphaproteobacteria; Hyphomicrobiales; Nitrobacteraceae.